This 488-nucleotide long non-coding RNA is filed under the name Setaria italica (foxtail millet). Its description in RNAcentral is "long non-coding RNA (SITA_LNC005297)". The record is from RNAcentral. Lineage: Eukaryota; Viridiplantae; Streptophyta; Magnoliopsida; Poales; Poaceae.
AAUCACCGGAUGCACCUAAAAUAUUGUGUUCUCUCCGACUAGAAAAUUGGAUGCGUGCCGUUAGAACAUCCAAACUGGCCUUGCCCAACUUUGGAGACGCAAAAUCACUGUUGUAGCAGUGUAGCACACUGUAGCGUUUCGUUUGUAUUUGUGAAUUAUUAUCCAAAUAUUGACUAAUUAGGCUUAAAAGAUUCGUCUCGCAAAGUACAACAAAACUGUGCAAUUAGUUUUUGAUUUCGUCUACAUUUAGUACUCCAUGCAUGUACCGCAAGUUUGAUGUGAUGGAGAAUCUUCUUUUUCAUAGUGUCAAAGUUAGGAGUUUGGAGGGAACUAAACAUGGCCUAAGUUGUUUUUUUGUCCGUGGGAUAUCAUCAAAACUUGGAUUUGUGCAGCACACAAUGCACUCUUUGAGAGGUUGCCUGGUAAAUGAACGAUUUUGCCCUCGCUUCGUUUUGUGGUUGCAGUGCAGCGGUCGCUUUGCUUCCUCG